GAGCACACUUUGUGGGACAGCAACCUGAGUACGGCGAGGCUCGAGGAACCUUGUCGGAAGCUGGGUCGACCACGAUCCAAGGCUAAAUACGGAGCGGCGACCGAUAGAGGAAUAGUACCGUGAGGGAAAGGUGAAAAGGACCCCGGUGAGGGGAGUGAAAGAGAACCUGAAACCAUACGCCCACAACAGGUCGGAGGGGAGUAUAAACUUCCUGACGGCGUGCCUUUUGUAGAAUGAGCCUGUGAGUUACGAUAGCGAGCGAGGUUAAGGCAUGGGAGUGCCGGAGCCGGAGGGAAACCGAGUCUUAAUAGGGCGAGUUAGUUCGUUAUCGUAGACCCGAAGCCAGGUGAUCUUAUUACGGCCAGGCUGAAGCUCAGGUAACACUGAGUGGAGGGCCGAACUCUAGUGUGAUGAAAAACGCAGGGAUGAGCUGUGAUAAGGGGUGAAAGGCUAAACAAACCUGGAAAUAGCUGGCACUCCCCGAAAUGCCUUGAGGGACAGCCUCAUACGCCUAUCAUGGAGGUAGAGCACUGUUUGGACUAGGGGUCUUCACCGGCUACCAAACCCAGGCAAACUGCGAAUGCCGUGACAGAAGGUAUGGGAGUGAGACGGCGGGCGAUAAAGUUCGUCGUCGAGAGGGGAACAGCCCGGACCGACAGCUAAGGUCCCUAAAUGCCGCUGAGUGUGAAAUGAGGUGCUAUUGCGAAGACAGCCAGGAGGUUGGCUUAGAAGCAGCAAUUCCUUAAAAGAGUGCGUAACAGCUCACUGGUCGAGCAAUGGUGCGCAGAAAAUGUAACGGGGCUAAGCGGUAUACCGAAGCUUCGGAUUCUAUGUAUAAAGCAUAGGAUGGUAGGGGAGCAUUCCAUGGACCGCAGAAGGUACACUGAGAGGUGUGCUGGAGGGGAUGGAAGAGAGAAUGCAGGUAUAAGUACACGAAAAGACGGGUGAGAUUCCCGUCCGCCGAAAACCUAAGGUUUCCUGGGUAAAGGUCAUCUGCCCAGGGUUAGUCGGUCUCUAAGAUGAGGCGGAAGCGCGUAGUCGAUGAGAAUCCGGUUCAUAUUCCGGAACCAUAUAUAAGUUCGAAGGGAUGACGCAUGAGGUGGAGCACUGCCGGCUGACGGAAUAGCCGGUUGACCUAGCGAGCUUAUGAGGUAGCGAGGCAAAUCCAGCUACUGAGGUGAGCUAGGGAGGGAGAGAAGCUACGGUGGAACGAAGUGUGCCGAAUCAAGGUGCCAAGAAAGAGUCUCUAAGGACAACUUAUAUAUGACCGUACCGUAAACGGACACACGUAGGUAGGAUGAGAAAUCUAAGGCGCUCGAGAGAACUCGCGUUAAGGAACUCGGCAAAAUGCACACGUAACUUAGGGAGAAGUGUGGCCUAUUGAAAGAUAGGUUGCAGAUAAUAGGCCCAGGCGACUGUUUACCAAAAACACAGGACUCUGCGAACGCGCAAGCGGAAGUAUAGGGUCUGACGCCUGCCCGGUGCUGGAAGGUUAAGAGGAGGGGUUAGCGGGAAACUGCGAAGCUCUGAAUUGAAGCCCCAGUAAACGGCGGCCGUAACUAUAACGGUCCUAAGGUAGCGAAAUUCCUUGUCGGGUAAGUUCCGACCCGCACGAAUGGUGGAACGAUCUGGGCACUGUCUCGACGCGAGACUCGGUGAAAUUUAAGUACCGGUAAAGAUGCCGGUUACCCGUGGUUAGACGGAAAGACCCCAUGAACCUUUACUGUAGCUUAUCAUGGGGACUUGGCUUUACAUGUGUAGGAUAGGUGGGAGACAGGGAAGCAUGGCCGCUAGGCUGUGUGGAGUCGUUGGUGAAAUACCACCCUUGUAAGGCUAGGUUUCUAACUCAGUUUGUAAAUCCAGGCUGAGGACAGUGGUAGGUGGGCAGUUUGACUGGGGCGGUCGCCUCCUAAAAGGUAACGGAGGUGCGCGAAGGUUGCCUUGCGCUGGGUGGAAAUCAGCGCUUAAAGUGUAAAGGCAUAAGGCAGCUUGACUGCGAGUCCGACAGGACGAGCAGGUACGAAAGUAGGUCUUAGUGAUCUGGCGGUAGCGAGUGGAAGCGCCGUCACUUAACGGAUAAAAGGUACUCUGGGGAUAACAGGCUGAUCUUGCCCAAGAGUUCACAUCGACGGCAAGGUUUGGCACCUCGAUGUCGGCUCAUCGCAUCCUGGGGCUGGAGCAGGUCCCAAGGGUUUGGCUGUUCGCCAAUUAAAGCGGUACGUGAGCUGGGUUCAG
RNAcentral lists this ribosomal RNA (2235 nucleotides) under activated sludge metagenome. Its description in RNAcentral is "bacterial LSU rRNA". It matches the Rfam family "Bacterial large subunit ribosomal RNA", at positions 384 to 2614 of the family's 2925-position model. The record is from RNAcentral.